GAAGAAGGUUCCCAAGAGCAAGCGCUUCAAUUGUCUGGACUGGGGGACGUAUUGAAGGAGCAGGAUGAGGGUGACACUUGAGUGCCGUUUUUCUACCGACAAUACCGAAUGAAGAAGGACCAGCUCCUGAAGGCGAACAGGCCCUCAACGAACCUCCUGAGACCUCUGCUCACACCUGGGCACAAAGCCUGGGGGGGAAAGGAGGGGUCCAGGUAGUUGAGUGGCUAAACAAUGACCAUCGCUUUCUUCGGGAGACUAGCAAGCAGGUGUCAGCCUUCUCCUCUGAACCCACCUGUUUGGUUGUGAGCUUGGACGGAGAGCUGAUGGUGGUUGGCACUGGACAGGGAAUGCUGCAUUUUAUCAACACACAGACCGGACAGGUGUGAAC
Molecule: long non-coding RNA, 388 nt
Organism: Micropterus salmoides (largemouth bass)
Lineage: Eukaryota; Metazoa; Chordata; Actinopteri; Centrarchiformes; Centrarchidae
Exons: 3
Source: RefSeq, a predicted model, not a curated record